Molecule: ribosomal RNA, 233 nt
Filed under: uncultured fungus
Lineage: Eukaryota; Fungi
Description: partial 18S ribosomal RNA
Rfam family: Eukaryotic small subunit ribosomal RNA
Source: RNAcentral
AAGAUUAAGCCAUGCAUGUCUAAGUAUAAACAAAUUCAUACUGUGAAACUGCGAAUGGCUCAUUAAAUCAGUUAUAGUUUAUUUGAUGGUAUCUUGCUACAUGGAUAACUGUGGUAAUUCUAGAGCUAAUACAUGCUUAAAAGCCCCGACUUCUGGAAGGGGUGUAUUUAUUAGAUAAAAACCAAUGGGUUUCGGCCCUUCUUGGUGAUUCAUAAUAACUUCUCGAAUCGCAU